UUCACAAUACCGUCGUGUCUACACAUACAUACUAUAGUUUUAGACAUGUUUCAAAAAAUACUAGGCAAUAAAGCGAGCCAAUCCGAAGAGAAUGCAAAGAAUGAUAAAUCACGGAGGGGCAAGCCAAAAGCGAAAUCAUGCAAAUGUGUCCCGCAAAACUGCAAAUGUAAGAUACGAAAUGCAGUCAAGCUGUUGGCCAAACAACGUUAUAAUUUUAGAUCGAACGAAAUUUUUGUUUGAGUGUUGAAUUAUAAAUAAAAAAUAUUAAUUUCCUAACUUUAAUUUUGAUUGUUGACGCUAUUGUGGCUUUUAGAGGACUUAAAUGUAAUCUUUUGACCAAACUAGUUAUUUGAAUUUAACCGGGAAAACGAUGAAAUAAAUUUGACUCGUGGAGUAACUAAAAAAAUACCGUUAUUAAAACUGUUAAAAAUGAUUAAUGUGCUUUAUACAAUAUUGUUCUCAAAAGAAAAAUGAAAAUCUAAUUACAUGAAAUACAUCAGAAUUUUAAGAAUAGUAACUAUGGAAGAGUACGACAAUAGCCUUAA
Molecule: long non-coding RNA, 545 nt
Organism: Bactrocera tryoni
Lineage: Eukaryota; Metazoa; Arthropoda; Insecta; Diptera; Tephritidae
Exons: 2
Source: RefSeq, a predicted model, not a curated record